RNAcentral lists this ribosomal RNA (459 nucleotides) under Triticum aestivum (bread wheat). RNAcentral describes it as "partial small subunit ribosomal RNA". The record is from RNAcentral. Lineage: Eukaryota; Viridiplantae; Streptophyta; Magnoliopsida; Poales; Poaceae.
AAAUUUUUCUAGGGGAGACAGAAUGGUGAAAGGAAGGUGGCCUGGGUGUCGUGGGAGGUUCACACAAUGCCCAAAUAUCAAGGAGGGUUGGGAUUUCGAGACACAUAACUGUUGAACUUAGCUAUGUUGGCUAAGAAAGCGUAGAGGCUUGUCCAAGAUCCGACCUCUCUUAGUGCAAGAAUCCUCAAGGUCGUAUACUACCCGGAGAUAGAUGUGAUGCAAGAUGAACUAGGCAACAAACCUUCCCUAAUUUGGCGGGCGGUGUGCGCUGGUAUAUCGGUUUUGAAACAAGGCCGUAUCAAAAGGGUUGGGAAUGGCCAGUCGAUCCGGGCAUGGGAGGACAGCUGGUUACCUCGUGAUUUCAUGCUGAGAACACUUCAUCUGAGAACUCCGGAUCCUCCACAACGGGUCUCGGAUUUUAUAGAUGACAUACUUAUUCAUGGAAUAAAGAAAAAGUAA